This 29-nucleotide non-coding RNA is filed under the name Mus musculus (house mouse). The record is from RNAcentral. Lineage: Eukaryota; Metazoa; Chordata; Mammalia; Rodentia; Muridae.
UAUUCCGUUGUGCAGUCUUUCCAAAUAGC